RNAcentral lists this transfer RNA (77 nucleotides) under Clostridiales bacterium. Its description in RNAcentral is "tRNA-Arg". It matches the Rfam family "tRNA". From Rfam's summary of the family: Transfer RNA (tRNA) molecules are approximately 80 nucleotides in length. The record is from RNAcentral. Lineage: Bacteria; Bacillati; Bacillota; Clostridia; Eubacteriales.
ACGCCUAUAGCUCAGAUGGAUAGAGCGCCUCCCUCCUAAGGAGGAGGUCGCUGGUUCGAAUCCAGUUAGGCGUGCCA